AAGGGCCGGGUAAGACCGGUGCCAGCCGCCGCGGUAAUACCGGCGGCUCGAGUGGUGGCCGAUAUUAUUGAGUCUAAAGGGUCCGUAGCCGGCUUUGCAAGUCCCCUGGGAAAUCCAGCGGCUUAACCGUUGGGCUUUCAUGGGAUACUACAUUGCUUGGGACUGGGAGAGGUAGGAGGUACUCGGGGGGUAGGGGUGAAAUCCUGCAAUCCCCCGGGGACCACCGGUGGCGAAGGCGUCCUACCAGAACAGGGCGGACGGUGAGGGACGAAAGCUAGGGGCACGAACCGGAUUAGAUACCCGGGUAGUCCUAGCCGUAAACGAUGCCCGCUAGGUGUCACGACGGUCGUGAAUCGUCGUGGUGCCGUAGGGAAGCCGCGAAGCGGGCCACUUGGGAAGUACGACCGCAAGGUUGAAACUUAAAGGAAUUGGCGGGGGAGCACCACAACGGGUGGAGCCUGCGGUUUAAUUGGAUUCAACGCCGGGAAGCUUACCGGGAUCGACAGUUGUAUGAAGGCCAGGCUGAAGACCUUGCCGGACUAGCUGAGAAGAAGUGCAUGGCC
RNAcentral lists this ribosomal RNA (563 nucleotides) under uncultured archaeon. RNAcentral's name for it is "bacterial SSU rRNA". It matches the Rfam family "Archaeal small subunit ribosomal RNA", at positions 437 to 999 of the family's 1478-position model. The record is from RNAcentral.